This 497-nucleotide ribosomal RNA is filed under the name uncultured bacterium. Its description in RNAcentral is "partial 16S ribosomal RNA". It matches the Rfam family "Bacterial small subunit ribosomal RNA", at positions 28 to 507 of the family's 1533-position model. The record is from RNAcentral.
GAUGAACGCUGGCGGCGUGCCUAAUACAUGCAAGUCGAGCGAACAGAUGAGGAGCUUGCUCCUCUGACGUUAGCGGCGGACGGGUGAGUAACACGUGGAUAACCUACCUAUAAGACUGGGAUAACUUCGGGAAACCGGAGCUAAUACCGGAUAAUAUAUUGAACCGCAUGGUUCAAUAGUGAAAGACGGUUUUGCUGUCACUUAUAGAUGGAUCCGCGCCGCAUUAGCUAGUUGGUAAGGUAACGGCUUACCAAGGCAACGAUGCGUAGCCGACCUGAGAGGGUGAUCGGCCACACUGGAACUGAGACACGGUCCGGACUCCUACGGGAGGCAGCAGUAGGGAAUCUUCCGCAAAGGGCGAAAGCCUGACGGAGCAACGCCGCGUGAGUGAUGAAGGUCUUCGGAUCGUAAAACUCUGUUAUUAGGGAAGAACAAAUGUGUAAGUAACUAUGCACGUCUUGACGGUACCUAAUCAGAAAGCCACGGCUAACUACGUG